Molecule: ribosomal RNA, 327 nt
Filed under: uncultured beta proteobacterium
Lineage: Bacteria; Pseudomonadati; Pseudomonadota; Betaproteobacteria
Description: bacterial SSU rRNA
Rfam family: Bacterial small subunit ribosomal RNA
Source: RNAcentral
GGNACGCNUCAGGCACGAAAGCGUGGGGAAGNCAAACAGGAUUAGAUACCCUGGUAGUCCACGCCCUAAACGAUGUCAACUGGGUGUUGGGGAAGCGAUUCCUGGGUACCGUAGCUAACGCGUGAAGUUGACCGCCUGGGGAGUACGGCCGCAAGGUUAAAACUCAAAGGAAUUGACGGGGACCCGCACAAGCGGUGGAUGAUGUGGAUUAAUUCGAUGCAACGCGAACAACCUUACCUACCCUUGACAUGUCCGAAAGCCUGCUGAGAGGUGGGUGUGCCCGAAAGGGAAUCGGAACACAGGUGCUGCAUGGCUGUCGUCAGCUAA